AUUUCGGUAGCCUGAUAGCGGCGAACGGGUGAGUAACACGUUGGUGACCUGCCCUAAAGUGGGGGACAACUCCUCGAAAGAGGAGCUAAUACCCCGGAUGUCUGAGAGGUUAGAAGCCUCAGACUAAAGUUUUUCGGAAUGCUUUGGGAGGGGCCUGCGGGCUAUCAGCUAGUUGGUGAGGUAAAGGCUCACCAAGGCGAAGGCGGCUAGGGGGCGUGAGAGCGUGACCCCCCACAAGGGAACUGAGAGACGGUCCCUACUCCUACGGGAGGCAGCAGUGAGGAAUAUUGAGCAGUGGGCGCAAGCCUGACUCAGCAACGCCGCGUGGAUGAAGAAGGCCUUCGGGUUGUAAAAUCCUUUUCUGGGGGAAGAUAAUGACGGUACCCCAGGAAUAAGUUCCGGCUAACUACGUGCCAGCAGCCGCGGUAAAACGUAGGGGACGAGCGUUAUCCGGAUUUACUGGGCGUAAAGCGCAUGUAGGUGGCGCGGAAAGUUGGACGUGAAAGCUCCCGGCUUAACUAGGAGAGGUCGUACAAAACUACCGAGCUUGAGGUUGGAAGAGGAGAGCGGAAUUCCCGGUGUAGUGGUGGAAUGCGUAGAUAUCGGGAGGAACACCAGUGGCGAAAGCGGCUCUCUGGUUCAAUACUGACACUGAGAUGCGAAAGCGUGGGGAGCGAACGGGAUUAGAUACCCCGGUAGUCCACGCUGUAAACGAUGGCUACUAGGUGUAGGCGGUCAUUAACCCCGUCUGUGCCGAAGCUAACGCGUUAAGUAGCCCGCCUGGGGACUACGGCCGCAAGGUUAAAACUCAAAGGAAUUGACGGGGGCCCGCACAACCACCGGAACGUGUGGUUUAAUUCGAUGAUACGCGAAAAACUUUACCUGGGUUUGACAUAGGG
Molecule: ribosomal RNA, 899 nt
Filed under: uncultured Chloroflexota bacterium
Lineage: Bacteria; Bacillati; Chloroflexota
Description: bacterial SSU rRNA
Rfam family: Bacterial small subunit ribosomal RNA
Source: RNAcentral